UACAGAGGGUGCGAGCGUUAAUCGGAAUUACUGGGCGUAAAGCGUGCGUAGACGGUUAUUUAAGUCGGGUGUGAAAGCCCCGGGCUCAACCUGGGAAUUGCAUUCGAGACUGAAUAGCUAGGGUACGGUAGAGGGAAGCGGAAUUUCCGGUGUAGCGGUGAAAUGCGUAGAUAUCGGAAGGAACAUCAGUGGCGAAAGCGGCUUCCUGGACCAGUACCGACGUUCAGGCACGAAAGCUAGGGGAGCAAACAGG
This 253-nucleotide ribosomal RNA is filed under the name uncultured bacterium. RNAcentral's name for it is "partial 16S ribosomal RNA". It matches the Rfam family "Bacterial small subunit ribosomal RNA", at positions 524 to 776 of the family's 1533-position model. The record is from RNAcentral.